UACAGGGGGGGCUAGCGUUGUUCGGAAUUACUGGGCGUAAAGGGUUCGUAGGUGGCUCGCUAAGUCAGACGUGAAAUCCCUCAGCUUAACUGGGGAACUGCGUCUGAGACUGGCGAGCUCGAGUGCAGGAGAGGAACGCGGAAUUCCAGGUGUAGCGGUGAAAUGCGUAGAUAUCUGGAGGAACACCGGUGGCGAAGGCGGCGUUCUGGACUGCAACUGACACUGAGGAACGAAGCCAGGGUAGCAAACGGGAUUAGAUACCCCAGUAGUCC
This 272-nucleotide ribosomal RNA is filed under the name uncultured bacterium. RNAcentral's name for it is "partial 16S ribosomal RNA". It matches the Rfam family "Bacterial small subunit ribosomal RNA", at positions 524 to 796 of the family's 1533-position model. The record is from RNAcentral.